This 519-nucleotide long non-coding RNA is filed under the name Aedes aegypti (yellow fever mosquito). RNAcentral describes it as "lncRNA AAEL020137". The record is from RNAcentral. Lineage: Eukaryota; Metazoa; Arthropoda; Insecta; Diptera; Culicidae.
AGAUAAAACUGCCGGUCAUCCCAGAAUCGGCCUCUAUUAGUGAACGGAUAAGUUAAGUCGAGUGAAAGUGGAAAAAGGUCCCGAUUGUGACUGUUAGUGAGUGAACGGAAUCAUCGCCGUUGUGCCAUUCCGUCGCCCCAUUAUCGGUCGGUCAGAGGAUAGCGGCCCGCCACCCCCUAUUUCAUCCCGAGACAACAGUUCCGGAUUUACCAUUGUCGUGUGGACGGCCAGGAGAGAAGAGCCAGAGAAUCCCGAGACGGUUCCCCGCCGACGUGUGAGUCAUCAUCCAUUCACCACCAAACGUUACCAGGAAGGACGGAAGAGCAUGCCGAUGGGGUCCCGACGAUUCCGAUCCCGGACAGUCGAGGGAAGCCGACUUCCUGCCAGCUGCUAGAGUGCCCACAGCAAACGGUAUGUGAGUAAACUCCUUUCCUUUGCUUUCCUUUCCUUGAGUUACUCCCCCCCCCUUCCUUGCUAUGAUGAAUCAAGAAAUUAAUAAUAGAAUGAUGUAAAGUUAAA